RNAcentral lists this ribosomal RNA (460 nucleotides) under uncultured bacterium. RNAcentral describes it as "partial 16S ribosomal RNA". It matches the Rfam family "Bacterial small subunit ribosomal RNA", at positions 338 to 795 of the family's 1533-position model. The record is from RNAcentral.
CCUACGGGAGGCAGCAGUGAGGAAUAUUGGUCAAUGGACGAGAGUCUGAACCAGCCAAGUAGCGUGAAGGAUGACUGCCCUAUGGGUUGUAAACUUCUUUUAUAUGGGAAUAAAAUGUUCCACGUGUGGGAUUUUGUAUGUACCAUAUGAAUAAGGAUCGGCUAACUCCGUGCCAGCAGCCGCGGUAAUACGGAGGAUCCGAGCGUUAUCCGGAUUUAUUGGGUUUAAAGGGAGCGUAGGUGGAUUGUUAAGUCAGUUGUGAAAGUUUGCGGCUCAACCGUAAAAUUGCAGUUGAAACUGGCAGUCUUGAGUACAGUAGAGGUGGGCGGAAUUCGUGGGGUAGCGGUGAAAUGCUGAGAUAUCACGAAGAACUCCGAUUGCGAAGGCAGUUCACUGGACUGCAACUGACACUGAGGCUCGAAAGUGUGGGUAUCAAACAGGAUUAGAUACCCGUGUAGUC